UACGUAGGUGGCAAGCGUUGUCCGGAAUUAUUGGGCGUAAAGCGCGCGCAGGCGGUUCCUUAAGUCUGAUGUGAAAGCCCACGGCUCAACCGUGGAGGGUCAUUGGAAACUGGGGAACUUGAGUGCAGAAGAGGAGAGCGGAAUUCCACGUGUAGCGGUGAAAUGCGUAGAGAUGUGGAGGAACACCAGUGGCGAAGGCGGCUCUCUGGUCUGUAACUGACGCUGAGGCGCGAAAGCGUGGGGAGCGAACAGG
RNAcentral lists this ribosomal RNA (253 nucleotides) under uncultured bacterium. RNAcentral's name for it is "partial 16S ribosomal RNA". It matches the Rfam family "Bacterial small subunit ribosomal RNA", at positions 524 to 776 of the family's 1533-position model. The record is from RNAcentral.